RNAcentral lists this ribosomal RNA (468 nucleotides) under uncultured bacterium. Its description in RNAcentral is "partial 16S ribosomal RNA". It matches the Rfam family "Bacterial small subunit ribosomal RNA", at positions 28 to 507 of the family's 1533-position model. The record is from RNAcentral.
GACGAACGCUGGCGGCGUGCUUAACACAUGCAAGUCGAACGGAAAGGCCCUGCUUUUGUGGGGUGCUCGAGUGGCGAACGGGUGAGCAACACGUGAGUAACCUGCCCUUGACUUUGGGAUAACUUCAGGAAACUGGGGCUAAUACCGGAUAGGAGCUCCUGCUGCAUGGUGGGGGUUGGAAAGUUUCGGCGGUUGGGGAUGGACUCGCGGCUUAUCAGCUUGUUGGUGGGGUAGUGGCUUACCAAGGCUUUGACGGGUAGCCGGCCUGAGAGGGUGACCGGCCACAUUGGGACUGAGAUACGGCCCAGACUCCUACGGGAGGCAGCAGUGGGGACUAUUGCACAAUGGGCGGAAGCCUGAUGCAGCAACGCCGCGUGCGGGAUGACGGCCUUCGGGUUGUAAACCGCUUUCGCCUGUGACGAAGCGUGAGUGACGGUAAUGGGUAAAGAAGCACCGGCUAACUACGUG